GACGAACGCUGGCGGCGUGCUUAACACAUGCAAGUCGAACGGAAAGGCCCUGCUUUUGUGGGGUGCUCGAGUGGCGAACGGGUGAGUAACACGUGAGUAACCUGCCCUUGACUUUGGGAUAACUUCAGGAAACUGGGGCUAAUACCGGAUAGGAGCUCCUGCUGCAUGGUGGGGGUUGGAAAGGUUCGGCGGUUGGGGAUGGACGCGCGGCUUAUCAGCUUGUUGGUGGGGUAGUGGCUUACCAAGGCUUUGACGGGUAGCCGGCCUGAGAGGGUGACCGGCCACAUUGGGACUGAGAUACGGCCCAGACUCCUACGGGAGGCAGCAGUGGGGAAUAUUGCACAAUGGGCGGAAGCCUGAUGCAGCAACGCCGCGUGCGGGAUGACGGCCUUCGGGUUGUAAACCGCUUUCGCCUGUGACGAAGCGUGAGUGACGGUAAUGGGUAAAGAAGCACCGGCUAACUACGUG
Molecule: ribosomal RNA, 468 nt
Filed under: uncultured bacterium
Lineage: Bacteria
Description: partial 16S ribosomal RNA
Rfam family: Bacterial small subunit ribosomal RNA
Source: RNAcentral